AUGGCCAGCGGCGGCGUCUUCCUGCUCCUACUCCUCCUCGUCGCCGGUGUCGUCGCCGUCUUUUUUCGGAUGAGGCGACGGCGAGGGGACGGGAGCAGCAGCGCGCCGAGCCCGCCGUCGCUCCCGCUGCUCGGCCACCUGCACCUGCUCAAGAAGCCGCUGCACCGCUCGCUGGCCGCGCUCGCCGGGGCGGCGCCGCUCCUGUCGCUGCGGCUGGGCGCGCGCCGGGCGCUGGUCGUGUCCACAUACGCGGCAGCCGAGGAGUGCUUCACGGCGCACGACGCCGCGCUGGCGGGCCGGCCGCGGAUGCUCGCCGCGGAGCACCUAGGGUACGGGCGCACCACCGUCGUCUGGGCCUCCCACGGGGGCCACUGGCGCGGCCUGCGCCGGUUCCUCGCCGUCGAGCUCUUCUCGACCUCCCGCCUCGCCGCGCUCGCCGGUGACCGCCGCGCCGAGGUCGCGUCACUCGUCCAGAACCUGCUCCACGACGCCAGCGCUGGGGCUGGGAUUGUUACCCUCCGGCCCAGGCUCUUCGAGCUGGUGCUUAACGUGAUGCUGCGCGCGCUCACCGCGCGCCGGCUUGCCGGCGACGUGCGUAAGAUCCAAGAGAUUGUCGAGGAGACGUUUGCGGUGAGCGGCACGCCCAGCAUCGGGGACUUCUUCCCGGCGCUUCGCUGGGUCGACCGUCUCCGUGGCGUCGAGGCGGCGCUUGUAAGCCUGCAGACAAGGCGUGACGCGUUCGUCGGUGCCCUCAUCGAUGACCAUCGGCGAACGAGCAAUGCCGGUGGCCGAGACGUGGAGAAGAAGGGCGUAAUCGACGUACUCAUGGAGCACCAAGCAGCCGAUCCUGUGUAUUACACUGACACCGUCGUCAAAGGCAUCGUCUUGGUACUGCUCACCGCCGGCACCGACACAUCGGCGCUGACCACGGAGUGGGCGCUGGCGCUGCUUGUGAAGCACCCAGAGGUGAUGCGGAAGGCGAGGGCUGAGAUAGACGCCAAAGUCGGCAUCGGCCGACUGGUUGAGGAGUCGGACAUCACCAACCUACCUUACCUGCAGUGCGUUGUCAAGGAGACUCUUCGGCUGUGCCCCGUCGGCCCAAUCAUUCCUGCGCACGAGGCCAUGGAGGACUGCAAGGUGGGUGGCUUUCAUAUCCAGCGCGGCACGAUGAUCCUCGUGAACGCAUGGGCGAUCCACCGGGACGUCAAAAUCUGGGAUGCGCCAGAGGAGUUCAGGCCGGAGCGGUUCUUGGACAGAGACACGGUCACCACGCCCAUGCUGCCGUUCGGGCUUGGCCGGAGGCGAUGCCCCGGGGAGGCGCUGGCGAUGCGCCUUGUCAGCUUGACUGUGGCAGCACUCGUGCAGUGCUUUGAAUGGGAUGUUGGUGAAGGCGACACCAUCGACAUGGCCGAAGGUGGCGGGCUGACAAUGCCAAUGGCGACGCCGUUGGCGACUGCCUGCCGGCCCCGGGAGUUUGUCAAGAGCGUGCUCUCUGCUUCCACUUGA
RNAcentral lists this ribosomal RNA (1506 nucleotides) under Triticum aestivum (bread wheat). RNAcentral's name for it is "partial small subunit ribosomal RNA". Lineage: Eukaryota; Viridiplantae; Streptophyta; Magnoliopsida; Poales; Poaceae. The record is from RNAcentral.